CGCAUCAGCUUGACAUUGCUCCAACUCUGUCUUGCCAGCCAAAUCUAUGGGAUAGAAAGAAGCCAUUUUGUAUCUACCAACAUGCUCAAUUUAAUUCACUAUUAAUGUGUCAACUAGGCAACAUAUUCAGACUUUAGAAAAUCAAAACAGUGUAAAACAGUUGUGAGGCAGAAGACAGGUUGGUGGUAGAGCUGGGAGAAAACUCUAGAAGUUUAUGCCCUAUUCUUCUUUGUAUAGCUUUAAAAAGUCUGGGGAAAAUCUGGCCCCAGUUUUCACCAUAAAGUUUCAAUUUUAAAAAUGAUAGGAUGUCUUAAACCUGGGACAACAAAAUGCCAUGAACUGAGAGCCAGGCAAGGCUGAGUCACGGUACUGACUUACAAGCAUCUCACCACGAAGCUAGCUAGGAGGUAAUGAUGGCAACUGUAGCUGAAUCCUGGGAGCUCCAUCUCUUGAUGGUCGGAUGCCCAUGGUGCUUAAACCGUUUGAGGCUGAGAUACAUUGUUUCUGUUUGUUGCAAGGCAUGUUCUUUCUAGAAGCAACAUUCCCUUCAAAUUGAAACAUUUCUUUCCGGAGGCAAACCAAGGCUCAAGAGCCUCCGGCGUUUAACAAAAAAGAAAUUGGGAAUAAAAAUGAAAAAAAAAAAGAAAAACAAACAAACAAAAAACAAAACAACAAAAAAAAAACAAACCUCACAAAACCUUUCAAGAUUCUUAAGAUAAUUUUUUGAAUUUUAAUUUUUAUUUGCAUGAGUGUUUUGCCUGCUUGUGUGCACCAUAAGCCAGCAGUUCAGAAGAGGGCAUCGGCUCCCCUGGAACUAGAGGUACUACAGACAGUUGUGAGCUGCCUUUAUGGGUGCUGGGAAGCCAGCCUGGAUUUUCCGGAAGAGUAGCCAGUGCUCUUAAUUGCUGAGCCAUCUCUUCAGCUCCAGUUUACAGGAUUUUCAAAGCUUUCAGUAGAAAAAAGAGUAAACAGUGGCUGGGUCCUCCUCCAGCCUCCUGAAUCAAGUCUGGAAACAAAGAAGAGUAUAUGUGCUCCGAAGCCCUGAGGAAACCUUGAUACACUUAUGAGUGGAGGACCGGGGACCCGAGGACUCCACAGAGGAAGCAGGAAGUGGAGCAUGAUGAGAGGAAGGCAGGGGCCAUCUCUGUUACCUUCACUCACUCAUGGUGCACCAGCUAAGGAGACUUCAGAUGACAGCCAGUGGAGGGGAGGAUGCCACCUUCCUAUUCUUCUGAGCAUGAUCAGAAUGAAAGGCACUUAAUCAUGACUCCAAUAGUGCAACAAGUUCCAGUCUUCAUGUGCUGUAUGUAUUUCUGUUUUUUUUUCUUGUCUAAAUCAUAAUACUCAACACUAGCAUGACAUGCCAAUCCAAUUUUCCAGCUAGAUUCUAGAAACAGCAUGAUGGCAAUAUGGUGUGAUACAGGAAGGGGAGGAUACUAUAUAAAGUGAGAUUAUGUGGCCUGCUGUGACAGCACAUGCCUUUCAUCUAAGCAUGGGUUAGGCUGUCACAGAAGGAUCAAGGGUUUAAGCCACUGUGGGUUAUAUAGCAAAUAGUAGGCAAACCAAGAAUAUGUAGUAAGACCCUGUAUAUAAAAACAUAAAAUGGCAAAAUAAAACAGCUGUCUGAAGCAUUUGGAGAAAGUUCUACUCAUGUAGAUGGUACGUUUAUAAUGUUCUAAUCUCUGGAGCCAUUGCUAAUUGCACUAUAGUAAAUAAUACAGUUAUUAAGCAAUUAUCAAAGAAACAUCAUUUUUUUUUCAGUUAUUCAAAGCCUUAACUACAAAUAUGUAUAUUACCUGUGUUUUUAGCCAAAUAUCUUGCUAUUGCGAGACUCUGGUGAAGGGUAAGUCCUCCCACCUCCAAAACAGGGAUUUUGCCAAAUGGAAGAGCUAAAACAGACCAAAUGUAGAGUCAACUUCAGAGCUGAACCAAGAAUGGUGAGAGAAGUCAGAAUAGUUGAAACAAGGUAUCCUAUAAAGUCAUGAAAGUCUUAAGUAUAGAGUAUAUAUACACAUAUAUAUUUAUAAACUUAAACAUAUGCUUACUUUAAGAAGCACUAUACUGUUACCCUAAGUCAUGGAGAUCGUGUGGUUAUCGUUCCACAGGACCAGUCCCUCCACGCACUCCAGCAGGUCAGAGAUGGGGUAGAUGUUAGGGUGGUGGGUGUACUGGGUGGUUUUGUGUGUUAACUUGACACAAGCUAUAGAGUCAUCAGAGGAAGGAAACUCAGCUGAGGAAAUUCCUCCUUGAGAUCAGCUGUAAGGCAUUUUAUCAUGUAGUGAUCAAUGGGGGACGGCCCAGCCCAUGGUGGGUGGUACCAUUCCUGGGCUGGUGGUCCUGAUUUCUAUAAGAAGGUGGGCUGAGCAAGUCAGGGGAAGCAAGCCAGUACGCAGCUCCCCUCCACGGCCUUUGCAUCAGCUUCUGACUCCAGGAUUCUGCUCUGUUUAAGUUCCUGUCCUGACUUUCUUCAGUGAUGAACGGAAGUGAUGAAGUGUAAGCCGAAUAAACCCUUUCCUCCCCUUUUUGGUCAUAAUGUUUUUGUCACAG
Molecule: non-coding RNA, 2547 nt
Organism: Peromyscus maniculatus bairdii (prairie deer mouse)
Lineage: Eukaryota; Metazoa; Chordata; Mammalia; Rodentia; Cricetidae
Source: RefSeq, a predicted model, not a curated record